RNAcentral lists this ribosomal RNA (254 nucleotides) under uncultured bacterium. Its description in RNAcentral is "partial 16S ribosomal RNA". It matches the Rfam family "Bacterial small subunit ribosomal RNA", at positions 524 to 776 of the family's 1533-position model. The record is from RNAcentral.
UACGUAGGGUGCGAGCGUUAAUCGGAAUUACUGGGCGUAAAGCGUGCGCAGGCGGUCUGUUAAGACCGAUGUGAAAUCCCCGGGCUUAACCUGGGAACUGCAUUUGUGACUGCAUCGCUGGAGUGCGGCAGAGGGGGAUGGAAUUCCGCGUGUAGCAGUGAAAUGCGUAGAUAUGCGGAGGAACACCGAUGGCGAAGGCAAUCCCCCUGGGCCUGCACUGACGCUCAUGCACGAAAGCGUGGGGAGCAAACAGG